RNAcentral lists this ribosomal RNA (355 nucleotides) under Tetrastemma sp. UR NEP-2021. Its description in RNAcentral is "partial large subunit ribosomal RNA". It matches the Rfam family "Bacterial large subunit ribosomal RNA", at positions 1933 to 2543 of the family's 2925-position model. Lineage: Eukaryota; Metazoa; Nemertea; Enopla; Monostilifera; Tetrastemmatidae. The record is from RNAcentral.
GCGGUAUCCUGACCGUGCAAAGGUAGCGUAAUCAUUUGCCUCAUAAUUGGGGGCUAGUAUGAACGGAUAAACAAAGCAUUUUCUUUAUUAGGGGAAAACUAAUAAUUUGCUUUUUUAGUUAAGAAGCUAAAAUUGGUUUAUGGGACAAGAAGACCCUUUUGAGCUUUAUUGCUUUCUUAGUUGGGUACUUUGAGGUAAUUUGAUUGGGGCGAUCAAGGAAGAUUUAAUCUUCUUUUAUAGAUGAUGACCCAAAGGUUUUGAUUGUUAGACUAAGUUACCAAAGGGAUAACAGCGUAAUUUUUUUUGAGAGUUCUUAUUAAAAAAAAAGAUUGGCACCUCGAUGUUGGCUUAGGAA